UGAGGUAGUAGGUUGUAUAGUUUGAUGGGAAGGAUUUCAUCCCAUUGAUGGUGAUAACUAUACACUCUAUUGCCUUCC
RNAcentral lists this microRNA precursor (78 nucleotides) under Microcaecilia unicolor. RNAcentral describes it as "Mun-Let-7-P2b4_pre stem-loop". It matches the Rfam family "let-7 microRNA precursor family", at positions 7 to 78 of the family's 84-position model. From Rfam's summary of the family: This family represents the microRNAs (miRNA) let-7 and mir-98. let-7 was identified from a study of developmental timing in C. elegans, and was later shown to be part of a much larger class of non-coding RNAs termed miRNAs. The record is from RNAcentral. Lineage: Eukaryota; Metazoa; Chordata; Amphibia; Gymnophiona; Siphonopidae.